UUGACAACCCAUUAAUAUCAAAGAAAAAUUAAAUGGCCAAAAAGAAAAAUCCCAAAUUUAAAAAAUAAAUAAAUUAGAAGAUUAGAAUGACCAAAGAAAAAACCAGAACCUCCAAGUUCUCUCCCUUUUUUCGAUCUUCUGAAGAAAUAAACCCUAAGUUAUUCAAUUGAUUUACAAAUUAUUGCGAUUUCGAGCUUUCAAGCUUCACAAUUUAGGCGACCUUCUUUGUUUUUCCUUUGAGUAUGUUCCUUAAUAAGGAUGGUGAUACUACUACUACUACUUCUACGGCACAUGAUGAUGGAUAUAAUGAAUACAUCACUCCGCAACGAAAGAGAAAGAAGAGGUCUAAAGUUUGGAGAGAGCUUAUUGAAGGGAAGAAUGUUCAAGGAGAAUUAUAUCAUACCCUGAUCAAAAAAGUUGAGAGGCUGAAGUAUCAUGGCAGAUUUUGGGUUGGACAAAACUUCAUUUGUGAAUCUAAUCUUUGAAGACUGAAAUGGAUUUUUUUUUUUUUUUUUUUUUCUUAAAUGGAGUAUGCAGACUAGACUUUGUGGAUUUCAGAAUGUUUAUUUACUUACAAUGCAUUGGUUUUUGCUUCUGAAAAUGUGAUCUGAACUUUGUGGAUUUCAAAAUGUAAUCAGAAAUAUAAGUUACUCUGUUUGCUUUCAUGAAAGCUGCUAAGUUUGGCCGCCAUUGGUUACCUUUCUUUAGGGUAAAUAAUGUGGUGGAAAGGUGUCCUGAAACUUACUUCAA
Molecule: long non-coding RNA, 750 nt
Organism: Chenopodium quinoa (quinoa)
Lineage: Eukaryota; Viridiplantae; Streptophyta; Magnoliopsida; Caryophyllales; Amaranthaceae
Exons: 3
Source: RefSeq, a predicted model, not a curated record